This 343-nucleotide ribosomal RNA is filed under the name uncultured bacterium. RNAcentral's name for it is "bacterial SSU rRNA". It matches the Rfam family "Bacterial small subunit ribosomal RNA", at positions 28 to 405 of the family's 1533-position model. The record is from RNAcentral.
GAUGAACGCUGGCGGCAUGGAUAAGGCAUGCAAGUCGAAAGGGUUUAGGCCCUUGGCAAACGGGUUAGUAAUACAUAGGAAUCUGCCCUGAAGUCGUGGGAUAAUCCGGAGAAAUCCGGAACAAUACACGAUAUGCUCUACGGAGUAAAGAUUUAUCGCUUCAGGAGGAGCCUGUGUCCUAUCAGCUAGUUGGUAAGGUAAAGCUUACCAAGGCUAUGACGGGUAGGGGUGUGAGAGCAUGGCCCCCAACAUUGGAACUGAGACACUGUCCAAACACCUACGGGUGGCUGCAGUCGAGAUAUUUGUCAAUGCGCGAAAGCGUGAACAAGCAAUGCCGCGUGCA